Molecule: long non-coding RNA, 1772 nt
Organism: Tachysurus fulvidraco (yellow catfish)
Lineage: Eukaryota; Metazoa; Chordata; Actinopteri; Siluriformes; Bagridae
Exons: 3
Source: RefSeq, a predicted model, not a curated record
CAACAAAAAAAGGGUCAUGUGCAACAUUGCCCAGUUUUCACAAUUUGUUGUUAGGUCACUUUUUAAAUUUGAACAAAUUUGUGAUAUUAAUCAUUUGUAUGAAAGGUCAGAUUUGCAGAUUUGCUUAUACCUUCCAUGUGUCAUUCCAUGUAUGUUCAAAUGACACACCAAUAGAAUUGGUAGAACAUGAAAGAUCACGUUUUGUGGAGUCUGUGUCAGCUCUAUUGCCCACUCCCAUUAAAGCAAACUUUAUGACAUGAGGACCUUUAAGAUUUUGAAAUUCAUGUAAAUAUUCAUAAGAUUUUGCUUUUCCAAAGAUGUUACAGAAUGUGCAAUGGAAACCUUUCGGAGAAGUGACAAACAAAAGCAUAAUCUCAGUCUUAUGAAUUCAGUGCAUUUGGCAGACACCCUUAUCCAGAGUGACUUACAUUUAAUCUCAUUUUAUACGAUUGAGGGUUAAGGACCUUGCUCAGGGACCCAGUGGUGGCAGGGAUUUGAAAUCGAAACCUUCUGAUGAGUAGUCCACCAAUUUAACCACUAAGCUACCACAUCUCUACUGGAUGUCCCUGUAAGUCUGGAAAAAAAAUAUCUAUAAAUAAUUUUAUUCCAGUAAUUCUCUAAAGAGUUUGACAUCUGCAGAGGUAACUGCAGCAAAUCUGAAUAAAAAUGUAUAAAUUCUUGUUGCUUUAGGUAAGUGUGCUUUUCAACUUUUUUUUUGCUUUUCAAGUUGUUACACGCUGCAGUGAAAUCUGUAAUCAGUUCAGAUUGAACUCUGGACAGAUACCGUAGGUGUUAAAAUGUUUAAAUAGCCUAAUAAAUCGAUUUUUAGCCAUAAGAACCGACUGACCUAUUCAGCGGUAAUUUCAUAACUGGUGUUAUAGUGAACAGCGUUUAAUCAAAUGAAAAGACAACAUGCUCCUGUUUAAAUGCAUACAAGUGACAUUUACCUCAGGUGACUGGAUGACUUCAUUUCCUGUUGUAAACAUAUAAUUAUUUUAAGAAAUUUGGCAAUAAUGUUGUUUUUUCAAACAGAGAUGAAUCUAAGAGCUGGUGUGGAUGAGCUCAUCUGAGUGGUGAAAAAAAGAGAGCACUCUCACUCAGCUACAGGUGUCAGAGUGAUGAACAACACCUGGCACUGUUCCCUUCAGCAGGCUUGGCACUGAGAGUUAACCCCUGCCUAGGAAUCGAGCCCAGGCCACAGCGGCUGGUCAAUCUCAUCCACCACAGGCUUAAGGGAGAGGAUGAUGUCAUGCUGAGUGAGACUUUCAUUGCUGGAGGGAUUUAGUCAGGUUUCGGAACUUGACAGGCAGAUUGUGGGAAUGACUGAAAGAUAUGAUAAAGACAUCUUUUGGCUUAAGCUGCGACUAUGACAUCAGUGCAUGUACCGCUUCCCUGAGAAUGUGUCAUCAUCGACAUAUCACUAUUAGUCUAAACUACCAAAUGACUGAUGGUUCCUGCUUCUCAGGAAAAGGCUGACUUCUUAAGCUUCUGUUUGAAACCUUGUGAGAGAGACAGAUGUGGUUCCUGGUGCUUGUGUGCUUGCUUUUCCUAAUGUGAUUAUAGGACGGUUUCUUCCCCUUCCUGUAGGCAGUCUGAAUGACGGUCAGUGCAAAACUUAAAAAAUAACAAUCAAUGUACAGCAAAUAUCGAUUUGCUAUGAUCUCCCAAAAACAUGUGAGUAAACUGCCACAAGGUGUGAAUGAAUGUAAGAGCACAUAAUACCUUGUAAGACCCACCACAACUCUAACCAGAAUAAAGCGGUUCCUGAUGAA